GGUUUCUCUGAUGAUGAGGGUGGGUGGGCAAUCUGUAAAUGACAGUAACUGGGUGUGUGUCUGUCCAUGCAUCUACACACAGGUGCAUGGAUUCUGCCUCCAUAAGGGUUUUCUGCCCACAAGUCUGCUGAGCUGAGGGAUGCUGGAGCAACAGUACAUUCCAUCAAUACAGACACGAUCCACAGACCAAGAAAAUAGGACCUGCUUUGCCGUGCAAAAGCAGGGAAGCCCACCUGGAGGAAUGAACAUUUGAAAAACUGAGAUCUACUUUCAUCUAUAGCACGAUAGGCCUGAAAUAGAAUUCGGGUACCAAUCCAUCCUGUUUUGUUUGACAUCCUCAGAGCCCUCUGAAGUGAACCAAAGUGCAGGCUGGACUAAGAGAGUUAACCAGCUCUCUCCUCUGAAAUAUAAUUAUGAGUUUCCUACCAAGGCUCAUGCAGCUGAAUGCAGCCAGGACACUCCCGGGCCACCUCUGACUUCAGGGCUUUCGUUGUUGUUUUUGCUGCCCAGACUAACAUGACUUUUCAUACAUGACCUAGGGCAGACUCCUUUCCAUAGCUGAGCACUGUUCAUCACCAGAGCUGCUGAGGGCCAAUGAGUUCAGCUUUUCAUCUCUGGCCUGGACACUACAGUAGCUGAAUCCCACUUCGUGGCUGGAUGAUUUGGAAGAAGGCCUUACAGCAGCUGGAGCCCCGGCUUCCUCAUCUGUCAGCUAAAGGGGAUCGGAUCGUCACUCCCGUACCUUGGGGACUUGAGCACUGGCCUUUGGCAGCCAUGCUCCCUCAAGGAAAUCACCAGGUCUUCGGCAGUCUGAUUCACUCAUCCGUUAAGGAGGAACAGCAACAGCAAAUAUGAACUAAUACAGAAGACCACACUUCAAAGUUUUAAAAACUGAGAACAUUCGAAAACAGUCACCUGUGAACUCAGCUAGAUCCUCAGCUCUCGGCCCCAUCUGUAUCCACGGAGCUUGAGUCUUGACUUCAGGGUAGAGGGAUUGCAGGGGAGGGGGACGAGCACAAAGAAAGUCAGGCCAGCAGUUCUAGGACCCAAAGGAUUUGAAGGCCUGGGGACAGAGACUGCCCGCCGGUCAGUAAGCACUGGCCCAUGGCUCCCUGGAGCCGUGCAGCAAUGAUUCAGGAAAAGGCUGACAAGGGUAUUAGCAAUGUGGGUUUUUUUUUUAAUCCUGAGUCCAGAGAAAAUGCACGGUCAGGAAUAAAGGCACCCAAGAGAGCACGGAGAAGGAGAAAUAAUCAGAAUUAGCCAAAGGGCGGGCGGCAGAAGCUGGGGCAACACCGCAUGCAGAGACUCAAAAUCCCCAUCAGGACCCCAGGCUAGAGAGGUGGCUGGCAAGCUGGCAGUCCAGGCCAGGAGGACAAGGAAACCUGGCCCCCUGGAACCUGGCGAGCAGACAGAAUAGACAAUGGAAAAGAAGCCAUCUCCAGGGCUCUGGAUGCAGGCCUUAGGGCUGGGGGGAGGCCAAGAGACUGUCAGCUACUGCAGAAAGGCUGCCCCGCAGGCAGGAGCCUCCACACCACCCUUCAAGGCUGAAGUGACACAAGGAUGACAGAAACUAUGACCGGGGAAUUUGCCUGGGCUCUUCCCAGGAAAUUGCACAGCGCAUAUCAGGGUGUUCCCAGAGGUGGUCUCAAGACCUGCUGGGUGGACGGAUUUUGAUGAGCUAGGAGUGGAUAUCCAUUUACAGGGACUGUGGAAUUGAUAAACUUCUUACCUGAUGUCUGCCUAUAACAAAUCAUUUUUCCCCUUUUAAGAAGCAGCCCUGGUUCUGAGUGUGUGUGUGUGUGUGUGUGUGUGUGUGUGUGUGUGUGUGUGUGCUCGCACAUGCUUGAGGGCAUGCAUAUGUGUUAGGGGAGGACAGAAUUAAUACAUCAGCUCCUCAUUCCACUGCAGACUCCAAAUUAAUGGAGUAUAAAUUAAUGACAAGUGAAAUGUGUGUGAUAUCCUGAUGCCCAGUGGGUCUCCAGUGCCCCUGACUCUGGGUCCCUAGGCAAAGUGCUUCCCUGAACUGCUGUGCUAUGAGAUAAAUAUAAAAGGACAAGUCUGGAUCACCAGCUCCCCCUUAGCAUGUGGCUUUUUCCUUUAUGAAAGGCCUUAUAUGGAAGCAACUGCCGGUGUUAACAGCACAGUAUAGAAUUCUAGUCUCCAUGUAUUAAAACUUUCACUUGCUGAAUACAAUAUUUAUUUUAACAUAAUCUCGGUACACUCAUUUUAUUCUUCCAUACUUUGGAAGAUCCUCAAUAAAUAAAGUCCCUGGGGCCUCUCUUACUCUGUGACCUCAGGAUUUCAAUCCCAGUUUCUAUCAAUGGAGGUAAAUUGAUAUCUAGGAUCCAGACAAGAUAAGGAAGCAGAAGAGAUCCCCCCACAACUGUUGAUUGUCCAAACCCGUCUGUGGAAGGCUUUACCCUACAGUUACUGAUACAGAGAGCCCAGAGGAGGGUUUCCAAGAACUGCCAUGCUCCUUCCCAGUUCCUCUGUCUCAUCAGACCUGCACAGUGUUGGGGUCACUGGCUGAACAAACACCUGUCCUGUUUGUACCCCACCCUGAGACACCAAGUAAAGUCAGGAAUCAGCGGGACCCCUCAUUUCCACAGCCCACACUCUAUGGGUCACCUAUGUAAACAUCAAACCCAAAUCACAGCCCCCCAAAUUUAAUUUAUUUCUACCUAAACAAGUUCUUUUAUCAUAAAGCAAUAAAUUUGUCUUCGUGCUA
Molecule: long non-coding RNA, 2728 nt
Organism: Mesocricetus auratus (golden hamster)
Lineage: Eukaryota; Metazoa; Chordata; Mammalia; Rodentia; Cricetidae
Exons: 2
Source: RefSeq, a predicted model, not a curated record